UACAGAGGGUGCAAGCGUUGUUCGGAAUUAUUGGGCGUAAAGGGCGCGUAGGCGGUGCUGUAAGUCUGUGGUGAAAUCUCUGGGCUCAACUCAGAGUCUGCCAUAGAAACUGCAGUGCUGGAGUGUGGGAGAGGUGAGUGGAAUUCCCGGUGUAGCGGUGAAAUGCGUAGAUAUUCGCAAGAACACCAGUGGCGAAGGCGGCUCACUGGCCCGGUACUGACGCUGAGGUGCGAAAGCGUGGGGAGCAAACAGG
RNAcentral lists this ribosomal RNA (253 nucleotides) under uncultured bacterium. Its description in RNAcentral is "partial 16S ribosomal RNA". It matches the Rfam family "Bacterial small subunit ribosomal RNA", at positions 524 to 776 of the family's 1533-position model. The record is from RNAcentral.